GCCACCGCCGCAUCUAGGGCUUGCCGUGCUGCUGCAACAAUAUAUUUUAGAAGUUGUAUUGGACUGGAAGAGAGGGAAGGGGAGCGUUUGAACUUUCAAUUUCAUUAAUUUUUGCUGAAUUUCUGUGCCUGUGGGUGAAUACUGGAUUGUGAAGGACGGUUAGGAUUGUGAAUAUAGAAGUUUGGACCUCUUCAUAUAUGGGAACAAUGCUGAUCGAUUCCUGAAUUGGAGCACUAGGUUCCAAAUUGUUCUAGGCGUGGCAAGGGGAUUGGAGUACCUUCAUGAGGAUUCAAAUCUAAGAAUUAUUCACCGAGACAUCAAAGCAAGCAACAUUCUUCUUGAUAAUAAGUUUCAUCCCAAGAUUGGAGACUUUGGCCUUGCCAGGUUCUUCCCUGAAGACCAAGCUUAUCUUAGCACACAAUUUGCUGGAACAUUCGCCAAAAGGGCUGUUUUCGCCGGAGCCAGAACAUUAUCGAGGACCAAAGCUAAAAGUUGCCAUCAUUAGAGCUGGGCUUUCUGGCAUGUCAACUAUAGUGGAACUCUUGGAUCAAGGACACGAGGUUCAGCUCCUUUAAUCUUUAAUAUCACACUUCCUCCAUUUCAUAUUUUAUAAGUCAUUUUGAUACUUUGAUUUAUGAAUAUAUGUGAAAAGUCAAAGCGACUUAUCAGUAUGGAACGAAGAAAAUGUUAUUUUGAAAUUGGAUGUUAUGGUGUACAUGGUAAACUUGAUUUUUGAAGCAAAGGGGAGGGAUUUGGUAAGUUUCUU
Non-coding RNA from Arachis ipaensis, 766 nucleotides. The record is from RefSeq and is a predicted model, not a curated record. Lineage: Eukaryota; Viridiplantae; Streptophyta; Magnoliopsida; Fabales; Fabaceae.